Molecule: long non-coding RNA, 553 nt
Organism: Arabidopsis lyrata subsp. lyrata
Lineage: Eukaryota; Viridiplantae; Streptophyta; Magnoliopsida; Brassicales; Brassicaceae
Exons: 3
Source: RefSeq, a predicted model, not a curated record
UAGAUUUCUCUUUAUGGACUGGGCCUAACAACUAAAAAUAAGCAAAUAAUGUGAUAUAGCGAAUCCCUCCCUGGUACCGUUAGGCCUUCUCGGCGGCUGAACCGUCGUGAAAAAUGGCGGUUCCUCGCCGUAUAAGAAAACUGCUGAGGCGGCGGCGGAUUUUUUAGCUCAUCGGAACGGAACACAGCGGACCGGAGCUGUGGGCCACGCAAACCGUUGGUACUAUUCCAUUACUACGACCUACAGGAGCUACUCAUAUAAAGCAUUAAACUUUGGCAAAAAAAAGGCUCAAAAACAAAGCAAGCAGGAGACCAGUCGUUGGUCCAAAAAACAAAAAUACCCAUUUGCUGAUUUUGAGUUCCUCUCCCUUUGCUUUUUCUGCAUUCUCGAGGUUAGUCCUAAAGUUGCAACUUUUCCUUUACUUAAAAAAACCCAAAACAUACAUUUUUUUGAAAUAUUGUAAGAUAGUGAAAUCUUGAAUGUUGUUGAUGGAGAUUGUUUUGUUUUUCGAAUUUAAAUUAAUAUUAUUCUUAUUCCCAUGAGGGUUUUUUGA